Molecule: ribosomal RNA, 682 nt
Filed under: uncultured bacterium
Lineage: Bacteria
Description: bacterial SSU rRNA
Rfam family: Bacterial small subunit ribosomal RNA
Source: RNAcentral
AGAGUUUGAUCCUGGCUCAGGAUAAACGCUGGCGGCGCACAUAAGACAUGCAAGUCGAACGGAAGUCGUUACUAAAUGGAUUGACGAUUUAUCAGAAAGAAGUUUAGUAACAAUGGCUUUAGUGGCGGACUGGUGAGUAACGCGUAAGGAAUCUGCCCAUUAGAGGGGAAUAACAAUGAGAAAUCAUUGCUAAUACCGCAUAUGCCAUAAUUAUCGCAUGAUAAUAGUGGGAAAGGAGAAAUCCGCUGAUGGAUGAUCUUGCGUCUGAUUAGUUAGUUGGUGGGGUAAAGGCCUACCAAGACGACGAUUAGUAGCCGGACUGAGAGGUUGAACGGCCACAUUGGGACUGAGAUACGGCCCAGACUCCUACGGGAGGCAGCAGUCGGGAAUAUUGCGCAAUGGAGGGAACUCUGACGCAGUGACGCCGCGUAUAGGAAGAAGGUUUUCGGAUUGUAAACUAUUGUCGUUAGGGAAGAAGAAGUGACAGUACCUAAGGAGGAAGCUCCGGCUAACUACGUGCCAGCAGCCGCGGUAAUACGUAGGGAGCGAGCGUUAUCCGGAUUUAUUGGGUGUAAAGGGUGCGUAGACGGGUGAUUAAGUUAGCUGUGAAAUCCCUUGGCUUAACUGAGGAACUGCAACUAAAACUGGUCAUCUUGAGUGCAGGAGGGGUAAGUGGAAUUCC